CACCUGCCAAUGCAGGAGACAUGGUUUGAUCCCUGGUCUGGGAGGAUCCCACACGUGGCAGAGCAACUAGCCUGUGUACCACAACUAUUAAGCCUGUGCUCUAAAGCCUGGGAGCCACAACUACUGAAGCUCCUGGGCCAAGAGCCUGUGUCCCACAAGAGAAGCCACCACAAUGAGAAGAAGCCACCACAAUGAGAAGCCACCACCGCAACCAGAGAGUGGCCCCCACUUGCUGCAACUAGGAAAAGCCCAAGCAGCAACAAAGACAUAUCACAGCCAAAAAUAAUCUUGGCAGCUGUACUUGUUCCAGAACAAAGAAAUGCUGGAGCAGCAGGACAGCGAAGACCCAGAGUUCGUAAUUCAUACAGGGCAGGAGAAAGAAGAGCUCAGUGAGGUCCUUCUCUGCUUCCCAUCAGGGACAGAGGCAACAAAGCCAGCAGCUAGGCAUCCUCGCCUAUGUUUGUAACCAUCAAACAUUCACACAGCCCCUCCAAGCCAGGCACUGGGCAAGGCACUGUGGGCCUUGCAAAGAAUAAACUCCAAGCUCUGUUCUUCGAAAACUCAUGGACCAGAAAAGGGAUUAGAUUAGCACCCAAGGCUGGAACAGACAGAGAAAUAGAGUCAGAAAUGGCCUCAUAGGGCUUCCCUGGUGGCUCAGUGGUAAAGAAUCCACCUGUCAAGGCAGGAGACACAGAUUCAGUUCCUGGUGGAAGAUGCCACAUGCUGCAGAGCAACCAAACCGUGUGAGCCACAACUAUUGAGCCUGUACUCUAGAGCCUGGGAGCCGCAACUUCUGAAGCCCACAUGCCCUAGAGUCUGUGCUCCACAAGAGAAGCCACCGCACACCACUGGAGAGCAGCCCCUGCCCGCGGCACCUGCAGAAAAGCCCAAGCACCAGUGAAGACCCACCACAGCCAAAAAUAAAAUAAUUUUUUUUAAAAGAAAAGAAAUGUUAAAAAAAAAAAAGAAACAAACAAACAGCCUCAUGGGGAAACAAGGAGACCCCCACCCCAAACCAGCAGCCAUCUACUGCUGGUGGAACCACACUGUGCUGGGAGCAGGAAUAAACACCCUCUCCACCCUCAGGAACUGAGCCUAGUCAGAGGAUGAGAUGUUUGGUUGGCAUCACCGACUCAGUGAACAUGAGUUUGAGCAAAUUCUAAGAGAUGGUGAAGGACAGGGGAGGCUGGCGUGCUUCAGUCCAUGGGGUUGCAAAGAGUCGGACACUGAGUGACUGA
Molecule: long non-coding RNA, 1238 nt
Organism: Bos taurus (domestic cattle)
Lineage: Eukaryota; Metazoa; Chordata; Mammalia; Artiodactyla; Bovidae
Source: Ensembl